AUUGAACGCUGGCGGCAUGCCUUACACAUGCAAGUCGAACAGCAGCACGGGUGCUUGCACCUGGUGGCGAGUGGCGAACGGGUGAGUAAUACAUCGGAACGUACCUUAUCGUGGGGGAUAACGCAGCGAAAGUUGCGCUAAUACCGCAUACGCCCUGAGGGGGAAAGCGGGGGACCGUAAGGCCUCGCGCGAUUAGAGCGGCCGAUGUCUGAUUAGCUUGUUGGUGAGGUAAAAGCUCACCAAGGCGAUGAUCAGUAGCUGGUCUGAGAGGACGAUCAGCCACACUGGGACUGAGACACGGCCCAGACUCCUACGGGAGGCAGCAGUGGGGAAUUUUGGACAAUGGGGGCAACCCUGAUCCAGCAAUGCCGCGUGAGUGAAGAAGGCCUUCGGGUUGUAAGGCUCUUUUGUCAGGGAAGAAACAGCAGCUCUAACACAGUCUGCGAAUGACGGUACCUGAAGAAUAAGCACCGGCUAACUACGUGCCAGCAGCCGCAGUAA
Molecule: ribosomal RNA, 501 nt
Filed under: uncultured bacterium
Lineage: Bacteria
Description: partial 16S ribosomal RNA
Rfam family: Bacterial small subunit ribosomal RNA
Source: RNAcentral